Molecule: non-coding RNA, 817 nt
Filed under: Ips nitidus
Lineage: Eukaryota; Metazoa; Arthropoda; Insecta; Coleoptera; Curculionidae
Source: RNAcentral
GGAAGAGUGUUUCAGUUCUAAAUUUUUAUUUAUUUUUAAAUUUAAUGUAAAUUUUUGUGUUAUACUAAAGUUCGUUAUAAAUAGGGGGGCUUACCUAAAAUUCAGUGGUUACAGUAAUUAGUUUUUUAAAUUUAAAAAUUUAAGAUAAAGAUAAUAAUAUUUAGUACAAACUAAAUUUGUGCCAGCAGUUGCGGUUACACAAAUUGUGCUAUAAAAAUAGUUUAGAUGAAGUUAAAAAUUUAAGUUAGAUAAGUUAAAAAUUUAGAGUAAUUUUAUUAGGUGAAAUUUUAUUUUUAUAAAAUUUUUAAAUAUAUAAUAUUUUGAAGCUUAGAAAUUUUGUUUUAAAACUAGGAUUAGAUACCCUAUUAUUAAAAUGUAAUUAUUUUAUCUAAAUUAGUGCUAGGAAAGAAAAUUAGGAGAAAUUUUAUAUUCUUGAAAAUUAAGAAGAAUGGCGGUAUUUUAGUCUUUUCAGAGGAACCUGUCCUGUAAUUGAUAGUCCACGAUUUUUAUUACUUUUUUUUUUAGUUUAUAUAUCGCUGUGGUUGAAUAUUUUUUUUGAGGGUUUAAUAUUCAGAGUUUUUAAAAAAAGAAAUUCAGGUCAAGAUGUAGCUUAUAAAAAAGAAGAGAUGGGUUACAAUAAUUUAAAUUUUGGAAAAAUUUUUUAAAAUAAUCUUAAAAUUGGAUUUGAGAGUAAUUAUGUAAAAUUCAUACAAAAUGAUUUUAGCUCUAAAAUGUGUACAUAUCGCCCGUCGCUUUCAUUUUAAAAUGAAAUAAGUCGUAACAUAGUAGGUGUACUGGAAGGUGUCUCUAGAAGACA